UUUACUGCCCGCCAGGCCCGAAGGCUCACCGGCUCCCCCUCCCCACGCCCCAGCACCCAGGGCCUUGGCCCCAGGAGCCCACAGCGGCAGAGACUCCCAGGAAACGCGAGUGAGCCGCCUUCCGGAACCUGGCGCACAUCACUUUCAAAACGCAGCGGGGCCUGGAACCAAGGCCAAGGCCGCCUCUUUCGGUUUCACUUGGACGCUUGUUCUUGCUGGGGAUGGAGGUCAAUCACAAGGCUCCGGGAAGCACGGGCACGAGUCACAAAGCAGGUCACUGAGACAGCGGCACCAGGCCCGCCAGUCCGAUCUGCUGACCCCAGCCAGGGCCCAGCACUCCCAUGCCCUGCACUGCACGAGGCUGCCCGGGACAGUGCCUGCAGGGGAGAUGACUCGGCAAUGACUCUCUGGGCCCCUCCUCCCACCCCAUCACUCAUGGGGUUGUCCAGGGCAAGAGGCCCAGGGGAAUCCGCAGGAGAGCCAGGGCACAGGGCACGAGUGCGGCCCCAGGCUGAGGCCUCCGUGGGACUGAGCUUCAGGGCCACGCUGCCAUGCUGAGCUCUCACGGGGCCUCCGCCUGGACCACCAGGCACCCUCAGGCUGACUGGCCCCUGUGUGCCACCCAUGUGGCCCAAGGCCUGUCCCCCUCAUGCCAAGAGCCCCGUAGGGCCCCUUCGAGUAGAAUGCAGCAUUCCCUGCCCCUCCGAAGCAGUGAGUGGUUCAGGGGCAGAGCUGGGCCUGGGCGAGGGGCCCCCGGGGGGUGGGGUGAUGCCAUCACUGUUGCCGUCCUACGGGUUGAGACAGGACAGCUGCCCAUCACCCCUUGAUGCAAGCUGGCUGCAGGCUGCCUGACCAGUUCCCGGGGACACCGUGCUCAACCCUGUGGUGACAACUGGGGAUUCCGAAGGACAGGGAGGUCUUACUUUCUGUUAAACACUUUUAUUUUCCCUGAGAUACAAUCCACACCAGGAGGGGCACCUGUCCGGAGCAUAUGACUCAACGGUUUCAACGUAUUCUAAGGCAGACCACCACAGCUUCUAAUUCCAAAACAUUCCGCUCCCCCAAAACACAGCCGUGUCCCCAACAGCAGUCACUCCCCCGCCUCUACAGCCCCUGCAACCACACGCCCACUUCUCUUCUGUGGACUGGCCUGCUCUGGACACGUGACCACACGUCUACCCCCCAUCUGUGGACUGCCCUGCUCUGCACACGUCACAUGAACGGAGUCACGUGCCGUGGCCUUUUGCGUCUGGCGUCUCUCCGCAAGCACGUCUCCGCAGAGCAUCCAUGCCGGGCGCACAGACGACAGAUCUAAUCUCCGCCUCCUCACGGGGCCCAGGAGGCCCAGGGCGAGAGCUGAUGGGGCCCACGCAUCCGAAAUCCCCGUCUUGGCCAGAACCCCAGAAUGUUAAUCAGUUCAUCCAGGGAGACACCCACCGUCCCUGCCCCAGCACCAUCCGUGCCCGGCGUCCCUGGAGGCGCUGGGUGGGCUCUCCACAACGCCUGCCCCCCACGCCCCAGGUCAGUCUGGGGAUUGGUCCCUCCAGGCCCCACCUGCCUUAUUCUUCGGGACUCUGGGGUGGUGGGAAGAGUGCCCUACGGGGGACAGGACCCACCAGGAGGCCUGCGCUUCCCCUUCACCGACACACGCUGCUCCCGGGCCCCACUCGGGCCAUCUCAGCCCGCUACCCUCCCUCCCGCCUGUCCCUGGAAGCCGGGUUUGAAUGCGACCCGCACUCCCACCCCCAACACGCUCUGCAGACUCCGCCCAGACGGCCCCGGGGUCACCUAAUAUCAGCAAGCCCCCAUCCCAAACCGGGGGACCUCCAUGCAGAAACCGAAAAACCAUCUGCCCCAGAAGAGAAGUCGGAGGCCCCAGGAGCGGGAGGGGCGGGGAGCAAGGGGAGGGAGGGAGACAGGGCUGCGCUGCGGGGCCGAGAAGGCAAGGGUCCUGGGACCGGGGACAAGGAGGAGGAAGGGGCACGAACGCCCGAGGAGCCUGGAGUCAGGAAUCGGGGCGGCGGGAGAGACCGGGGGUCACUCCCAGGAAGGGGUCGAGGUCACGAGGCGCAUGGAGUCGAGAGUCCCCAAAAGGGAAGGCCAGGAUACCGAGGAAAAGCGGGUGCGGGGUCACCAAGGGGCUCGGGGGCACCGAUGAGUGCGGGGUCAAGGGUUACCAGAAAACGAAAGGUCGGGGGUCACCAAGCUGCGCGGUACAGGGAGUCACCCGGAAGAGCGGGAAGGAAAGGUUGGGAGGGUUGUCGUGGAAGAACCCCCUCCAAGCCUCUGCAUGUGCCACGUCCCCCACUGGGGCUCACUCACCCGAGACUUUUAAACUGAGACUCCCUCAAAAGCUACUAAGACGAUCACCAGCCGGGCGCAGUGGCUCACGCCUGUAAUCGCAGCACUUUGAGAGGCUGAGGCGGAUGGAUCACUUGAGGUCGGGAGUUUGAGGCCAACCUGGACAAUAUGAUGAAACCCCGUCUCUACUAAAUAUACAAAAAUUAGCUGGGCGUGAUGGCGGGCACCUGUAAUCCCAGCUACUCAGGAGGCUGAGGCAGUAGUAUCGCUUGAACCUGGGAGGUAGUUAUUGCAGUGAGCUGAGAUCGCACCACUGCACUCCAGCCCGGGCAACAGAGUGAGACUCCAUCUCAAAAAUAAAUAAAUAAAUAACGAAAUAAAAUAAAAUGAAAUAAAAUCAUCA
This is a long non-coding RNA of Homo sapiens (human), 2704 nucleotides long. RefSeq annotates it as collagen alpha-1(VII) chain. Lineage: Eukaryota; Metazoa; Chordata; Mammalia; Primates; Hominidae. The record is from RefSeq and is a predicted model, not a curated record. The transcript has 3 exons.